UGUGGUAACUAAGUAAAAGCUUGGAAACUUACCUUGCUUCACCUUGGAGAGUUAGCCACGACCAAGGAACUUCUGGAUAAGGAAUGAGCAGUCUUGAUAAGGUUUCCUUACAGCUAGAGAGGCUGGAGACAGGCUGUAAAGUAGACAGCAUCUAGUAAAAGAUGCCAAAGGGAUCAAGCAUGUGAAGACUACCAUUGGCUGCUUUUGGAUGGCUCUCUUUGACUACACAUGCUCUGAAUCUCUACCCUAUCAGAUAUAUUUCGAAAAUUGAUUGUCUCACUCAUAUAAAUAUGUUGUAAACCUCAUCUUUAAUAAUUAAUGGAGUUUUGAGUAUUCUCUCUAUUCUCUCUCUACUUAUUCUCUUAAUCUCUUUAAUCUUACACAAAACAAUCUGAUUGUUCUUAAACACACUCUAAUACACAAAAAUGUAUAUGGUAUCAGAGCCAGGUUACUAAAAGGGUGGAAGUGUGUUACUCAUGUUCUUAAAAAUCUGGUUUUGUGUUCUUGAGCUGUUCUUGAUGUUCUUGAGUGUUCUUGGUGGUUUUGAGCUCUGUUCUUAUUUUGCUGGGUUUUAUUGAGGACAUCUGAUGGAGUCAAACGUGAGCAGAGAGAUGAAGACAAAAGUUAUCAAGUGAAGAAAGGGAGAGAAAACGAGUGGAUCUGGUCAGGUUGGGUAGAGACAGCUUUGGAAAGCUGUGGGAUUUGGAGUAAUCAUGUAAAGGAAGAGCCUUUGAAGGUGAGAGCUGCUGAGAAAGAUCAGACAGCAAGUUUGAAGGAGAUUCAAGUAAAGGUAGAACCUUUAAAGGAGGUAGCUGCUGAAGAAGGUCAGACAGCAAGGUUGGAGGUUCAUGAAGCCAAGGGCGUGAUCUAUAGUCUAAGACAAGGGAAGGACGAGUUGUAUCAGCUUGUGGGGAGGCUGAGAGAAGUAGAAUCAGAGUUGGGUAUGGUGAAAACUCAUACAGGAAGGAGGAAGCAAGAUGUGAUCUUUAGCUUUCUUAUGGGAGAGAUAUGUGAGCUGGUUGAACACAUUUGUAAUGUGUGGGAGAUAAAUAAGAAGCCAGAUAGAUGGAAGAGAGGUACAAGCUGCAAGAAGGGAGAAUCUGUAGAGAGCAGUGGGUUUAUGAGGAAGCCAGAGACCAAAGGAGCGGAUGAGCGUGUUACAAAGGAGGAAUGGGAUGAGUUUGUCAAGUAUGUGUAUGCUUUGGCUACGACCCGGAGACAAGGUGCUCCUGCCAAAGCAUCCACAUCCAACAAACCCAUCAUUGUUGAUUCUGGAGCAAGUCAUCACAUGAUUAGUGACAGAAGCUUAAUGAGUGAUGUAAAGAAAGCCACUGGGGGUGUGAUGAUAGCUAAUGGUGAUAGGAUUCCAAUAGAAGGAGUUGGAAAGCUCAAGCUAUUUGAUAAAGACUCAGAUGCCUUCUACAUGCCACAGUUUGCUUCAAAUCUACUAUCUGUGAGGAAAGCCACGAUUGAUCUUGGCUGUCAAGUAGUAUUCAGGCCAGAUGAUGUUGAGUUCCAAGAUUUAAAGACUGGAAGGGUCAUUGGGAGAGGAGACAGCAAGAAUAAUCUAUACCAGCUCCAAUUGGCUAAGAUCUCUAAACCCUUUGAUUCUAUGUGUUUGAGUAGUACUUAUGAGAAGAUUGAUAGUAUUACUUGGCAUGCUAGAUUGGGACAUCCUCAUGCUCGUGCUAUUGAAUUGAUAAUUCCUAAUAUGUCAUUUAAUCACUUGGAGUGUGAAGCAUGCAUAUUAGGAAAGCAUUGUAGGACUGUUUUUCCAACAUCAAAAACUACUUAUGAGCAUUGCUUUGAUCUAGUUCAUUCAAAUAUUUGGACGGCUCCUUGUUUGUCUAGAGAUAGCCAGAAGUACUUUGUGACAUUCAUUGACGAGAAGUCUAAGUAUACUUGGCUUACAUUGCUUCCAUCUAAAGAUAGGGUGCUAGAAGCAUUUAUGAACUUCCAAGCAUAUGUAUCUAAUCAAUACAAUGCUACUGUGAAGGUACUGAGAUCAGAUAAUGGAGGUGAAUACAUCAGCAAUGCCUUCAAGAGUCAUCUAGCCAAGCAUGGGAUUGUGCAUCAGACUAGCUGUCCUUAUACACCACAGCAGAAUGGUGUAGCUGAGAGGAAGAACAGGCACUUGAUGGAGGUUGCUAGAUCGAUGAUGUUUGAUGCAAAUGUACCGAAACGCUUUUGGAGUGAUGCUGUGCAGACUGCUUGCUAUCUCAUCAACCGGGUUCCAACCAAGAUAUUGAAGAAUCUGUCUCCAUUUGAAGUGUUGAACAAGAGCAAACCUGUCAUUGAUCACCUACGUGUCUUUGGGUGUGUGUGCUAUGUCAUGGUUCCAGGAGAGCAGAGAAACAAGCUGGAGGCAAAGAGUACUAAGGCUAUGUUCAUUGGUUACUCUAUCACUCAGAAGGGGUACAAGUGCUAUGAUCCUGAAGCAAGGAGGGUGAUGGUAUCUAGAGAAGUGAAGUUUGUUGAAACAAAAGGUUAUUAUGAAGAAAAGGAGUGGGAAAAUCUGAAAGAUUUGUCUCAAGCUCUAUCUGAUAAGGCAACAAUACUGAGAGUGUUGUUGGAGAAGCUUGGGAUAGGGUUAUCCCAGGAUCAGGAACCAGGAAGGAGAGAGCCUUCCAAUCAGACUGGUGGAGCUGGAAGAACAACUCCUCUUGAUCAUGAGAGGGGGAAUGGAACUGAAUCUGGUGAGCAAGAGCAAAACCAAGAGAAUUCAGGUCUUCAUGAUCAAGAUAUAUCACAAGAAGUUGAGAACAAUGUUCAGUCUAGUGGAAAAGUGGAUGAGGUUCAGUCUAGUGGAGAAGUGGAUGAGGUUCAAUCUAGUGGAGAAGAACAAGUUGGACCGGCCAGUUCAAAAGAAGAGCAAGUGGAGCCGGCUAGUGUGCAAACUGAAGAUCAUGUUCAAGCCUUGAGGAGGAGCACAAGGAUAAAGAGGGAUCCUUCCAACUGGGUAAACACGAGAGUGUACUACAAUGCCCAGGCUGUGGAGCAUCCUUCUCAAGCCUUGUGUUCCUUUGCUGAGUUUCCAGAGGAGCAUUAUGCCUUUAUGAUUAGUCUGGAUGAGAGUUAUGUACCAAGAACUUAUGAAGAAGCUAUGUUAGACAAGGAAUGGAAAGAAUCAGUGGGAGCUGAAGCAGGUGCUAUGAUCUAAAAUGAUACAUGGUAUGAAAGUGAGCUGCCUAAAGGAAAGAAGGCUGUAUCUAGUAGAUGGAUCUUCACAAUCAAGUAUCUAGCAAAUGGACAGAUUGAUAGGAAGAAGACUAGAUUGGUUGCAAGAGGAUUUACACAGACCUAUGGAGAAGAUUACAUUGAUACCUUUGCACCAGUAGCUAAGCUGCACACAGUUCAGAUUGUGUUGUCCAUUGCAACAAACUUGGAGUGGGAUUUGUGGCAGAUGGAUGUGAAGAAUGCUUUCUUACAAGGUGAGCUAGAAGAUGGGGUAUACAUGCUUCCUCCUCCUGGUCUUGAGCAUCUAGUAAAACCAGGGAAUGUUUUGAGAUUGAAGUCUGAACUUGAUCAUACACUCCUAGAGCUUGGUACAGGAAGCUGAGUACAACUCUCAAUGGGAGAGGAUUCAGGAAGUCUGAACUUGAUCAUACACUCUUCACUUUGGUUACUCCAUCAGGGAUCAUUGUGAUACUGGUAUAUGUGGAUGAUUUGAUUAUCACAGGGAGUGAUAAGGCUGGGAUUAAAGCCACUAAAGAGUUCCUCAAGUCUGUGUUUGAUAUCAAAGACUUGGGAGAGAUGAAGUAUUUCUUGGGGAUUGAGAUAUGCAGAUCCAAGGAGGGUUUGUUUAUGUGUCAAAGGAAGUAUACAAUGGAUAUGCUGAAGGAGUCUGAUGUACUUGGAGGAAAGGUAGCCAAGACACCUCUUGAAGAGGGGUAUAAGGUCUUACGUGAGGGGGAGGUUGAAGAGAACCAGUUGUUUGAGGAUGCUAAGCUGUAUAGGAAGAUGGUUGGCAAGCUGAUCUACUUGACUAUUACCAGGCCAGAUAUAUGCUUUGCUGUGAAUCAAGUGAGUCAACAUAUGCAGGCGCCAAAGGUCCAUCACUGGAAGAUGGUUGAUAGGAUACUGAGGUAUCUGAGUGGGACGGCUGGACAAGGAGUUUGGAUGGGCUGUAAUGACAGUACAGAAGUGGUUGGGUAUUGUGAUGCUGAUUGGGCAGGAGAUAGAGUGGACAGGAGAUCAACUACUGGGUAUUGUACAUUCAUUGGAGGGAACUUGGUUACUUGGAAGAGUAAGAAGCAGAAGGUUAUCUCUUGUUCAAGUGCUGAAGGUGGGUAUAGAGCCAUGUUGGAGCUGACAAACGAGUUGGUGUGGAUUAAAGGGAUCUUGAAGCAUCUAGAGAUUGAGCAGAGCACUCCUAUGACUAUGCAUUGUGACAAUCAAGCAGCUAUCCACAUUGCCUCCAACUCAGUGUUUCAUGAGAGAACAAAGCACAUAGAGGUGGAUUGUCAUAAGGUGAGGCAGAUGAUUAUCUUAGGAGUGAUUCUACCAUGUUAUACAAGAAGUGAAGAUCAGCUUGCAGAUGUGUUUACCAAGGCAGCGAGAUUGAAGACAAUGGAGUCCAUACUAUCCAGGCUUGGACUCAUUGAUCUUACUCCCAGGAGCUGAACCCCUUAACCAUGGAAUCUCCACUCUUUUUCCCUCAUCAAAGUUUUAUCCCAAUGGGUUUUCUUUGGUGAGGUUAUUAAUGAGGGAGGUCUUCAUGGUUUCCAAGCUUGACUUGUUCCACAUGGUCAAGCUUGAGGGGGAGUGUUGAGAUGAGUGUUGAGAUGAGGUAAUAAAGAAUGAAUACAUUGAUAGAGAAAGAGGAUUGAGACAUACAGUAACUUUGGAGUUUUACCACAGUAACUUUGUUUUACUGUGGUAACUAAGUAAAAGCUUGGAAACUUACCUUGUUUCACCUUGGAGAGUUAGCCACGACCAAGGAGCUUCUGGAUAAGGAAGGAGCAGUCUGGAUAAGGUUUCCUCACAGCUAGAGAGGCUGGAGACAGGCUGUAAAGUAGACAGCAUCUAGUAAAAGAUGCCAAAGGGAUCAAGCAUGUGAAGACUCCCAUUGGCUGCUUUUGGAUAGCUCUCUUUGACUACACAUGCUCUGAAUCUCUACCCUAUCAUAUACAUUUCGAAAAUUGAUUGUCUCACUCAUAUAAAUAUGUUGUAAACCUCAUCUUUAAUAAUUAAUGGAGUUUUGAGUAUUCUCUCUAUUCUCUCUCUACUUAUUCUCUUAAUCUCUUUAAUCUUACACAAAACAAUCUGAUUGUUCUUAAACACACUCUAAUACACAAAAAU
This 5301-nucleotide long non-coding RNA is filed under the name Brassica napus (rape). Its description in RNAcentral is "long non-coding RNA (BNAP_LNC008361)". Lineage: Eukaryota; Viridiplantae; Streptophyta; Magnoliopsida; Brassicales; Brassicaceae. The record is from RNAcentral.